GACGAACGCUGGCGGCGUGCUUAACACAUGCAAGUCGAACGGAAAGGCCCUGCUUUUGUGGGGUGCUCGAGUGGCGAACGGGUGAGUAACACGUGAGUAACCUGCCCUUGACUUUGGGAUAACUUCAGGAAACUGGGGCUAAUACCGGAUAGGAGCUCCUGCUGCAUGGUGGGGGUUGGAAAGUUUCGGCGGUUGGGGAUGGACUCGCGGCUUAUCAGCUUGUUGGUGGGGUAGUGGCUUACCAAGGCUUUGACGGGUAGCCGGCCUGAGAGGGUGACCGGCCACAUUAGGACUGGGAUACGGCCCAGACUCCUACGGGAGGCAGCAGUGGGGAAUAUUGCACAAUGGGCGGAAGCCUGAUGCAGCAACGCCGCAUGCGGGAUAACGGCCUUCGGGUUGUAAACCGCUUUCGCCUGUGACGAAGCGUGAGUGACGGUAAUGGGUAAAGAAGCACCGGCUAACUACGUG
RNAcentral lists this ribosomal RNA (468 nucleotides) under uncultured bacterium. RNAcentral's name for it is "partial 16S ribosomal RNA". It matches the Rfam family "Bacterial small subunit ribosomal RNA", at positions 28 to 507 of the family's 1533-position model. The record is from RNAcentral.